AGUGAACGCUGGCGGUAGGCCUAACACAUGCAAGUCGAACGGCAGCACAGUAAGAGCUUGCUCUUACGGGUGGCGAGUGGCGGACGGGUGAGGAAUACAUCGGCAUCUACUUUUUCGUGGGGGAUAACGUAGGGAAACUUACGCUAAUACCGCAUACGACCUACGGGUGGAAGCAGGGGAUCUUCGGACCUUGCGCGAUUGAAUGAGCCGAUGUCGGAUUAGCUAGUUGGCGGGGUAAAGGCCCACCAAGGCGACGAUCCGUAGCUGGUCUGAGAGGAUGAUCAGCCACACUGGAACUGAGACACGGUCCAGACUCCUACGGGAGGCAGCAGUGGGGAAUAUUGGACAAUGGGCGCAAGCCUGAUCCAGCCAUACCGCGUGGGUGAAGAAGGCCUUCGGGUUGUAAAGCCCUUUUGUUGGGAAAGAAAAGCAGCAGGUUAAUACCCCGCUGUUCUGACGGUACCCAAAGAAUAAGCACCGGCUAACUUCGUG
Molecule: ribosomal RNA, 492 nt
Filed under: uncultured bacterium
Lineage: Bacteria
Description: partial 16S ribosomal RNA
Rfam family: Bacterial small subunit ribosomal RNA
Source: RNAcentral